This 2727-nucleotide ribosomal RNA is filed under the name Triticum aestivum (bread wheat). RNAcentral describes it as "partial small subunit ribosomal RNA". Lineage: Eukaryota; Viridiplantae; Streptophyta; Magnoliopsida; Poales; Poaceae. The record is from RNAcentral.
AUGCCGAUGCAGUUCCUCUCGCUGCCCACCGCCCCCGCCGCCUCCCCGGCGCCCCACCUCCUCCCACCCAAGCCCUUCUUCCUCAAGCCCCUCUCCUCCUCCUCCUCCGCCGCCGCCUCCUUCCGCCGCCCCUUCCAGCCCCCGCCANNNNNNNNNNNNNNNNNNNNNNNNNNNNNNNNNNNNNNNNNNNNNNNNNNNNNNNNNNNNNNNNNNNNNNNNNNNNNAUGGCUCUCCAGCAAGCUCUCCCCGCCCCCGCCUCCCCCUCCCCCACCCCCAACGCGGCAACACCACCCUCCCCCGCCUCCGCCAGUGGAGCCGGAGCCCGAGGAAGAGGAGGAUGUGGAGGACGCGGAGGGGGAUUUCCGUCAGAAGGGGAAGGUGUUCGUCGGGAACCUGCCGCCGCGGGCUCGGAAGGCGGAGGUGGCCGACUUCUUCCGCCAGUUCGGGCCGCUCGACAAGGUGGAGCUCGUGCGCGCCCACGACGACCCGGAGCGCAACGCCGGCUUCUGCUUCCUCUACUACGCCGACGCCGAGGGCCAGGGCGCCGACGCCGCCGCGGAGCGCGCGGCGGAGGUCGACGGGGUGGACUUCCGGGGCAGGUCGCUCACGGUGCGGCUCGACGACGGGAGGAAGGGGCGGGCCAGGGCGGAGGACCGGGCGCACUGGGUGGACCACGGCCAAGGGAAGGAGGCGCCGUCGCCGUGGCACCACGGCAGGGACGAGGCCUGCCGCGAGUUCCGCAGGGUGGUGGAGUCGCGGCCCGAGGACUGGCAGGCCGUCGUCUCCGCCUUCGAGAGGAUCCCCAAGCCAUCAAGGAGAGAAUUUGGUCUGAUGAUUGUGUAUUAUGCCAAGCGGGGUGAUAAGCAUCAUGCUCGUGCAACCUUUGAGAACAUGAGAGCAAGAGGAAUAGAACCCAAUGCCUUUGUCUUCACAAGCCUUGUUCACGCUUAUGCAGUUGCUAGAGAUAUGCGUGGAGCGCUGUCAUGUGUUGAAGAAAUGAAAGCUGAGGGCAUUGAGCUGACAAUUGUUACUUACAGUAUCCUUAUUUCAGGAUUCGGCAAAAUCAAUGAUGCUCAAUCUGCAGACAACUUGUUCAAAGAGGCUAAGACCAACCUAGGGGAUCUCAAUGGGAUCAUAUAUAGCAACAUCAUACAUGCCCACUGCCAGUCUGGCAAUAUGGAUAGAGCUGAAGAGCUGGUCCGUGAAAUGGAAGAGGAUGGGAUAGACGCUCCCAUAGAUGCAUAUCACAGUAUGAUGCAUGGAUAUACUAUCAUUCAAGAUGAAAAGAAAUGUCUAAUUGUGUUUGAAAGGCUGAAGGAAUGUUGCUUUACACCAUCAAUAAUUUCUUAUGGAUGCCUUAUUAAUUUGUAUGUCAAGAUUGGUAAGGUCGCUAAAGCUAUAGCUAUUAGCAAAGAAAUGGAGUCAUAUGGAAUCAAGCAUAACAACAAAACUUACUCUAUGCUGAUAAGUGGAUUUAUCCAUUUACACGACUUCACAAAUGCUUUCCACAUAUUUGAGGAAAUGCUAAAAUCUGGUCUUCAGCCUGAUCGUGCCAUAUACAAUUUGCUGAUAGAAGCAUUUUGUAAGAUGGGAAAUAUGGAUCGAGCUAUUCGCAUUCUGGAAAAAAUGCAGAAGGAACGAAUGCAACCAUCAAAUAGGGCAUUUAGGCCAAUCAUAGAGGGGUUUGCGGUUGCUGGAGAUAUGAAAAGGGCUCUGGAUAUUCUUGAUCUGAUGCGACGAAGUGGUUGUGCUCCCACUGUAAUGACCUACAAUGCUCUUAUUCAUGGGCUAAUUAGAAAGAACCAGGUUGAAAGGGCCGUUUCUGUGCUUAACAAGAUGUAUAUUGCUGGUAUUACGCCAAAUGAACAUACAUACACAAUCAUUAUGAGAGGUUAUGCUGCUACUGGGGAUAUCGCAAAGGCAUUUGAAUAUUUCAUGAAGAUCAAAGAGGGUGGUCUAAAACUUGAUGUCUACAUUUACGAGACGCUGCUAAGGGCCUGUUGCAAAUCAGGGAGAAUGCAGAGUGCUUUAGCAGUCACCCGUGAGAUGAGCUCUCAGAAGAUAUCAAGGAAUACAUUUGUAUAUAACAUUCUGAUUGAUGGGUGGGCUCGGAGGGGAGAUGUUUGGGAGGCAGCAGACUUGAUGAAGCAAAUGAAAGAAGAUGGAGUCCCACCGAACAUUCAUACAUAUACCUCCUACAUAAAUGCAUGCUGCAAAGCAGGAGACAUGCAGAGGGCACAAACGGUGAUAGAAGAAAUGGCAGAUGUCGGACUGAAACCUAAUCUCAAGACAUAUACUACCUUGAUUAAAGGUUGGGCAAGGGCGUCACUUCCAGACAGAGCAUUGAAAUGUUUUGAAGAGAUGAAGCUGGCGGGGCUGAAGCCUGAUGAGGCCGCUUAUCAUUGCUUGGUAACUUCACUUCUCUCCAGGGCAACUGUGAUGGAGGGAAGCACCUACACAGGAAUCUUGAGUGUUUGUAGAGAAAUGUUUGAGAAUGAUUUGACUGUUGAUAUGCGCACUGCUGUUCACUGGUCAAGAUGGCUUCACAAGAUUGAGAUGACGGGUGGCGCACUAACUGAAGCACUUCAGAGAAUAUUUCCUCCUGAUUGGAAUUCAUUAGAAGUUCUAGGAGAGGUUUCUGAUUCUGUAAGCACUGGGGACUCAGAUUAUUCCAGUGAUUCUGAUUUUAGCGAUGGUGACGAGAAUCAAGAAGCUGAUGACAGCUGA